UAUUUUUAUAAGGAUAUUAUUGUAAAAGUAAAAAGAAUGAGGGUAGGAUUAUAAUAUAAAUACUAACAAGGGUAUCUCAGAGAUAUUUUUUUAAAAUAUAAGAAUUAAAUAGACACUUAACUUGAAAUAUAAAGACUAAAGAAACAUUUACGGAAAUAACUCCUAUUGCCAAAAUCCAUGCUAACCCUUUAAUUUGUUGGGCAGUUUUGACUUCUCAGUUGCAUCCAAAUCCAUGCAAGGGAUGUUUAAUCUUUUUUUUUUUUUUUGAACCACGAGGUGGUGCUGAGUGGGCCCCAACUGGCUUGAGACUUGAGACUUCUUGUAUGAGGGACGGAGCCAGUAUGGGACUAGCUGGGGAACAGGCCCCAACUGGCUUUUAAAUUUUUUUUCAUGAUUAUAUUAAAAAAUUAUAUUUUAUUUUUUAUUUAUGAAAAAUGCCCCAGUUGAAUUGUAAGAUUUGAAAGUGACUCUAGUAAUUUUAAAAUAUUUCAUAUUGUCUCUAGUUUAAAUGUCUACUUCUAAAUAAUUUAAUUAAUUAUUAACAUUUCAUGAAACUUGAUUAAAUGCACGAGAACAAAUAUUAAAAUAAAAACAAUCAUAACAAAAUGUUAGUAUAAUGGUUAAUGAACCAGUCCUUAAUCUUUUUGUUUUCUAUUCAAGCAAAAUCAAGUAUUUGGUCUUUCAACAUUGACCCAUAAGUUGUGAGUCUACCUAAUUCUAAUUUUUAAUUUUUUGAUUAAUUGUUUGUCUAGUUUUAAAAUCUAUAAUUUUAUCAUACAUUCAUGUUUGCUCUGUGUGUUGCAAUAUAUUAAUAUUUUUGUUAUUAUUAAAAGAUAAGAGUAAAUUAAGUAAUAACCUAGUCUUGUAUAUUGAAAAAUGUAUUUUUGCUUAUAUUGAUAAUGAAACUAUCAUAUAUUAUUUUCAACUCAUAAAAUCUCAUUGAGGAGUUUUUAACGAGAACAAUUGUAAUAAGUAAAUUUAUUAUCAAUGAAUAUUAUAGUUGUAAUGUUAUAUAUUGCUAUCUAAAUUUUUAAAAGUGUCUUAUACUUUAAAUAGAGUUUCACUUAUAUGCAUGCAGACACACUUUAUAAGGAGCACGAUUGUGCAUGUAGUAAGCUUCCAUUUGUAGUUUGUGGGGCCCACAACUCAGUUUCCCAAAUGAGAACUUACAACACGCACAGUCACGCAUUCAAGUCAUGUUUGAUUUUAAAUGUGCUCCAGCUCCAUCAAUUGGCUACGUCCUGACUUGUAUCACUUAAAAGUAUUUAAUUUAUUAAAUUAAUUUACGUUAGUCGGUUUAAUCUCGAGACCUCUUAAACCAUUAGAUAAAAUUCUUAUCAAUUAAACUAAGAAUCACAUAUGAUAGCUCUAUACUGCAUUAAGAAAAUUUCAUUUAUGUUAAGACGGUGAUGUUAGAUUAUUUAUUUAUUUUAUAAAUUGUACUAUGACAAGGUUGUAAUUUCAAAAAAAAGAAAAAAAAAUGAAAUGACACCCUCUAUUCGUGGUCGUGUCACCUAUUAAACAUACUUUUAUAUAUACUGUUGUGAUCUCAAAUCUUACGUGUCUAAAAAUAUAACUCAACUGAGCAUAACAUUAGUCUAUGGAGGUGGUCUGUAAGGUGGCAAUUGUUUUUUUGCUUUUUAUUUUUGAAAAGUACAAGAUGAGCAGAUGUUUUGCUUUCUGCGUAAUGGUCUUUUACGUGUAAAGUGAAUUUAUAUAUCUUUUCUAUAAAAACAAUCCAUGUGGUGCGUUAGUCUUACUAUAGCAAUUAGCAAUUUUGUUAGGCACGUGCUCUUUUUUUUUUAAAAAAAAAAAAUUAAAAUCAAACCAUAGGAUACUUCAAGUUGCCUUAAUUGCUCGAUUCAGAGGUCUCACUUUUCAGAUUGACCAAAUGACUAGCCGAAACUCACUGACCACGACACCAAGUUGUCUGAUCCAAUGAAAUAUACAAGUAACCUAGCCUUCGGUUUGGCUUGACCAUUUUAUUAAGCUAACCAUGGAAAAUAAACAAUGACCCAAAAAACUUUCAAAGGAGACGGGUAUAAUUUGGGCACCAUCAUUUGAUGAGGAAAUCAAUUAAAUCUGUUAAUCCUAAAGUAUCUAGACUCCGCGUUAUGGGUGUCAAUCGAAGUCACGAUCUAAUCAUCUUCUUUGUUCCUUCCAAUGAAAGGUAGAAAAUGAUUAAUUAAAAUUACACGUCUUUAGCAAGAAAAUGCUAUUUUAUUUUAAGAUUAAAUUUCGUUUUGUUUUAUCCUCGAAAGAAGACAAAGGUGUGAACGUUGUUCUAUAUACAGCCAAAAUAGCAGAGAUAAUUAUUGGGCAAGGGGAGGCAAAUCUCAUAAUUAUGCAACAAAAAGUCCACUCCAAAUUCACACGUCCGAUUAAUAAAAUUAUAAGAAUAUUAAUAAUGGGGGUUAGACUAUAUUAAAUAUAAGGUAACAUAUAACGAAUUUAUGAAUUGUUAUUCAUAAUAAUUCAAUUGUUUUUAUUAAUAUAAUUGUUUUUAAUUUUAAAUGAUUACUCAAGGGUUAUUGUAUGUUGAAUGUAACAUGACCCUUUAUAAUACUACUAAGUACAAUAAUACAAUUAGAGAAUGCUAUUAUGUCUAUAUUUACUAUUUAUUCACCGUUACCACCAAUGAAUGCAAAAGCUGAGUGGUCCACUAGCAAUGAAAGGCCAAUGAGCACCAAUAAUCUGUAUUACCAUUGCAUCACCAGCAUCUGUAAUGUUCCAGCUAAUAAAUUGUUUUUUAUAUAUAAUGAUUUAAUUUUCUAAACUUAAAAGAUGAUCUUUAUAUACUCCUUUAGCUGCAAAAGUUUCUUUCUCGCUGUCUAUUUCUUUUUAUUUUUUAAUAAAUAGUGGAAAAAGUAUUCUGCUUUUUGAGUUCUGUCAUGCAUACUUAAUGACAAAUCUUGUCCCGCAAAUUAUAAUAUUAUUCACAUUAGUUUAUUAACAAAGAGAUACUUGAUGAAAUUUGAGACCUCAUUAUACUGCACUAUAACGAGCCAUGGGGCCGCAUUACGCAAAUCCCGAAGGAAUUACCAAAGAGAUGCUUGAUAAAAUUUGAGACCUUAUUAUGCUGCAUUAUAAUACACCAUAAUGAGGCAUGGGGCUGCAUUACGCAAACCCGAGGUAGCCUUUUGCCUCAAUUGGGGCAACAGUUAAUGCUUCAAUUGAGUCAAAUUUAUUUUAUUAA
This 3196-nucleotide long non-coding RNA is filed under the name Citrus x clementina. Its description in RNAcentral is "Citrus clementina (C. clementina) long non-coding RNA (CCLE_LNC006559)". The record is from RNAcentral. Lineage: Eukaryota; Viridiplantae; Streptophyta; Magnoliopsida; Sapindales; Rutaceae.